GCUGUACCUCCUCCACAGUCUUUCUCUGUCUUCCAGUCGGAUGCCGAUGGCAACAAGGACCUAAAUAAUGGUGGCGCCACAAGACGGAGGGAGCCAGCACCCCCAAGUCGCCGUGUGGAGGAAGGCCAUGUGCAGACCAGCACCGUUCGUCUCAGACUUGAGGCAGAACACAGGUGUGUGGCCGCCUAGAGCCUCGUGGAGCCUGAGCAGCAGAAGCAUAUCCUGUGGGUGUGGCUCACCAGGACGGCCUUCCUGGAGGAGGAGGGCUGCGACCCAGAGGAUGGAGAUGGGCCGGGAGGCUGUGGCUCUCGCCCCCUCCAUCUCUGCAGGCACAUACCUGCUGUGGCUGUAGCUCUGCUUCAUCUCUGUGGGGUCUCCCUUUCAACACAAAGUCAUGACCACCUUCCUGGCAUCGGGGGCCGCAGAGGCUGUGGAACCAGGAGCGGCCCCGGGGGGCUCAGGGCCAGCUCCCAAAUUAACAGGCACCGUUUUGUGAAGAUCUACAGUAUGCCGCGCCCGUGCUUGGGCCCGGGGUCCUCUGGAGCACCGUCUGGUGGGGGAGACAGAGCAGCAAAGGCAAGACGGAACACAAUGGGCAAAGUGACCUGACGGGUGCCGUCAUGAGAAGGCACAAGGGGGACCUCCGGCACGUGGGAGCUGGGAGCCAACCCAAAAUGAGGCUCCCUGCUCUCCAGCCGAGGCUGGGCUUCUCUGAGCCUCUCCCGGCCUGCCAUGAAGCUGGGCCUCCCCGGGGCCGCUAUGCUUUUCACCAAUCAGGUGGGAGCCAGAGAGAGGGUAGGAAGGAGAAGCGUAUCAACUGACCUCUCUUCUGUCCUCUCCCCAGUCACUGAUUGUGAUCUGGGGACUUCCUGGAAGAAGCUAUCACUCCCACCCAUUCAUGGUAGCCUUGGAACGUGCCUAAAAUUCCACCAUUAGAGACACCUGUUGCGGGGGGGGUUGGGGGGGUCAGGUGUUAGCUUAUAAAAGGGGAACUUUAGAGAGAAAGCCUAUUUAAUCUUGGUUCAAACUUAACUAGCUUGUUGGAGCCAGAUUGUCUUGAUUUGAACCCAGCUCCACCACUGUUAGAUUCUGAGUAAGUUAUUUACCCUCCUUGAGCUUUGGUCCCCGCCCCUCCCCCACCGUCUGCAAAAUGGGAACACAGUACCUGCGGUGAGGUGAGAUAAGGUAAGAGACAGAAAGCCCUUGCCAGACGGUGGGGCGUUUAGAAAACAUUCGGUGAUUGUUAGCUGUUACUGACGUGGGGAACAAAGGCAAAAGGAAAAGUUAAAUUUCCUUACUGCCUGCAGCCCAUUGAUAAGUCCUUGGAAGAGGUAGAGGGACCUUCCUCUGGGAGCUCAGCUGCCUCCGUGUUAAUACUUGGCUAAGGGCAAAGGCAAUCUCAACUUCACAUUAUCCCAACUCCCCAGGAUCCUGAGUCUACUUUAACAUAUAAAAAUUCCUUUGGAAACCUCCUUUCUCUCUACUCGCCCCACCCCCGCAAGAUACAUGUUGGCAAUCCUCCUCCUGCCAUCUGUCACACUGAUCUACAUCUAAAGGGUCUCAUGACCGAGCCUGUACUAAACAGUAAUAAAUGACCUUUUCCUAACAACAGCUAGCCCCUCAAGGUGCUGGAAACCCUGCUUCUAAAAUUCCGUAGACACUUCUGUUAUCCCCGACCCCCUCCCAACUUGAAAGUAUAUAACCAGUCACACGUCACAAACCCAGGGCAGCUCUUUCCGCUUACGGGUCCCGUCCCUGGGCUGUUAUAAAACCACCUUUUUGCACCCAAGCUGUCUCGAGAAUUCUUCCUUGGCCAUCAGUUCCGAACGCCAACAUUUCUACCUCAUUAAUAUUUAUUACCCACGAUUGCUGUCAUCUUCAUCAUUAUUGACACAACACUAACUUUUUUCCCCAACUGCAACUACAAAGAAGAAAAAAACAGAGGCCCGUGCUGCAGGAAUUCAGUCAAGGGCGCAAGGCAGGUGAAAGCCAGCAGGGAUGAGCUAGUUUAAUACGUGGCUGUCCUUGGAAGGGGGCAGGGGGCUUUCUAGUGAGAUGACCACGUCUGGAGGAGAAGGAUUUCACACCCAGGAAAGCUCUUGCCCGAGGCCAGGGCGUCAGGAGAAUUCAUCCAUCCUGUUUUGCUUUGUUGGAAUUGGAAUGGGGGUGCAGAUCUGACCCCUGGGACAGAAACCAAGAAGACCAUGCAGUUUCCAUGCAGACUCUUCCAGGGUCUGCUGGGCUUUGGCCUAAGGAAAUUCCCUACAGGAGGUGCCGGAAGAAGGACCCGCUUGAAGCUCCUGAAAGGAAAAAUCUCCUCUGCCUGCCAAAUGCAUAUGACUGUUCCCGCCACAGUCCCAGCCUCCAGCCGACUUCUGCUGGGACUUCUGCCCUGCCUUGGCCUUGAACUUCAG
Mustela putorius furo (domestic ferret) is the source of this 2414-nucleotide long non-coding RNA. The record is from Ensembl. NCBI's taxonomy places the organism in Eukaryota, Metazoa, Chordata, Mammalia, Carnivora, Mustelidae.